Molecule: long non-coding RNA, 302 nt
Filed under: Heterocephalus glaber (naked mole-rat)
Lineage: Eukaryota; Metazoa; Chordata; Mammalia; Rodentia; Bathyergidae
Description: lncRNA (ENSHGLG00000047143.1)
Source: RNAcentral
CUGACGUGGGAGGCUUCAGAAAGGAAGGCUCAGAGCAGCAAGGCCUGUGUGCGCCUGCGCUCGCUCAGGAACUCCCUUCCCUCCGCGUGUGGGGAAGUCACCUCUCUCGUAAGGGUCUUCAGGAGACGGUGAGAGAAUUCUUCAGGGCAGAAGGAAGGGAGGAGAUCAGAGAGACUCCCUGCUCCUGCCGUUUGCUCACAUGCCAAGAAAGAGACACAAGAGGGGAGACCAUGUGAAGACACAGGGAGGAGGCAACCAUCCGCAAGCAAAGGAGAGAGGCCUCAGGACAAACCAAGCCUGCC